GCUUCUGCUGCUGCAGAUAUCUGAGAAUGUCUAUGAGGAGGACGUCCUCCAACAGCAGCUUCUCCUCCUUCGCCGUGGUUUGGAUGGGUUCUCUGCACAUGUGGUUUGAUGGACAGGAGUCCUGAUGUGAUGGACAUGUGAUGGUCCAUAGGCGUAACCACGCAUUCUUUGGGGGGGUCGUGUCCCCCCCAAUAUUGAAAAGGCGUCACAGAGAGACGGGGAAAGAGACAGGCAAGUUAAAAGCAGUGGCCACACAGGGACAAGCUCUGGACAUGCAGAUGAUCAGGAGACUGACAGGGAAAGAGAGACAGAACCAGGCACAGGAGGCAGUGGUUUAGAUCAGCGUGAGGAGGAGCUCGGGGCAGCAAUGGAAAUGAAACUGUGAUCCACUCCCACUAUUUAGCCUCCAUUGUAGCCUACACCCUGUACCUGUUAGCUACAUCAUGUAGUGUCCUACCAAGAGGACCGUCUCUGUGUUCCUGCUUAGCCAUU
Long non-coding RNA from Gasterosteus aculeatus aculeatus (three-spined stickleback), 492 nucleotides. The record is from Ensembl. Lineage: Eukaryota; Metazoa; Chordata; Actinopteri; Perciformes; Gasterosteidae.